Molecule: long non-coding RNA, 949 nt
Filed under: Rattus norvegicus (Norway rat)
Lineage: Eukaryota; Metazoa; Chordata; Mammalia; Rodentia; Muridae
Description: long non-coding RNA NONRATT031986
Source: RNAcentral
GCAGCCCUCUCUGGGCAUGGACUUCUUCUUAGAUGGGCUGCUCCAACCUGCCCCAGGGUUCCAAGACAAGCAAGAGGGAGAGUGGAGAGUUGCAGGAAGAGGUGGCUAAAACUCUGUGGGAGCCCCUGUGCCUAUGGACGUUUUUUCUGGCAUCUGCCCUUUGGCCUGGGCCCAGUGCCCACCAAAGAAGUUGGUUUGUGUUACAGUCAGGUCCACAGUCCAGAACAGGGGAAGGGGCGGAGCCCGUGUUUAGGGCUGGGGGCCCCAAGGCAAGGAGUCCCUUCAAGUGCUGUGGAACAUCAGAUUUUUGAACGACUCCAUUUAGAAGUAGAAGAAAAGCUCUCGGGAAAUAGGAGGGUUCUGGCUGGCUUCCCAGGAGAACAGCAAGUUCCAGCCAACUGGAGCUCCGGAAGCCGGGAAUUUGUGAGGAGGAAUGGGGCACGGAGCAAGCAAACAUCUCGACCACAGUUCCCCUGGCAGAACUCUGCUCUGAAGACCCCAGCCAUUUGCUAUGUACCACAGAGGGACAGCGGGAGCAGGGAUGUUGGAAUCUCACGACUGAUUUGACUUGAGACCUCCCUCACGUUGGCCCCCAGAACUGAAGAGCCUUCUUAUACAAGGACUCUGCUGGGACUGGAGUCUCUGCAGAUCUGGAAAAUCUACAUCAGGGAAAGGAGACAGGGGUCAAAGGGCAGCCCUGCAGAUGGCUGGAGGGUGAAUGAGUGUGGCUAGGAAAACUUGCUGCAUUCCACGGGAAAGUGGGGCUGUGUAACCCAGCAACUCCGUUCCUCUUUAAUAUCACACAGCACCAUCCUCUAUGCCUUUUGUCUCUGGCUUACUUUACGUUCUUAAAUAUGAAAAAGGACCCUAGAUAACUCCUGUACGUGAGCCAAGCUGGUCGAUAUUUGAAUAAAUGUAAAAAACAGUAAACUCAUGCAGCUAAUGUGAG